This 21-nucleotide non-coding RNA is filed under the name Caenorhabditis elegans. Lineage: Eukaryota; Metazoa; Nematoda; Chromadorea; Rhabditida; Rhabditidae. The record is from RNAcentral.
UCAAAUUGUUGAAUUAAACAA